UUCUCCACAUGUGAUGUUCUUGAUGUGAGAUUCAGAGACAGACUGAAGCUGGAUCAUCAGACUGGAUCUCUGAUCAUCACAAACACCAGAAACACAGACUCUGAAGUGUAUGACGUAACCAUCAGAAGUAGGAAAGAGACCAUGUACAGAUUCAGUGUCUCUGUUACUGUCUCUGAGUAGUCAAAUGUAUCAGAAGGAGGUGAAUGGAGCAGAUUGAGAGGGAGAAUGUGAAGAAACAGCAGGUGGCGCUAGUGCACUGUUUUAGUUUGGGAUCUGCUGUUAGAAGGAAGAAGAAGGAGAAAGCAGAUGAAGUCGUGUCAGGUGACAAACAUCAAUCGUGAAGAUCGCACAGGUGUUUAACAGCGAUCACAAACCGGAAGUGUUUGAAAGACUUCUGGAUUCUGUUCCUGCAGCACAAGAUCGUCUGAACUACUGCAAGUCAUGAUGAGCAUCUGAUCUUCUUCAGAGA
This is a long non-coding RNA of Carassius auratus (goldfish), 469 nucleotides long. RefSeq lists it as uncharacterized. The transcript is spliced from 4 exons. Lineage: Eukaryota; Metazoa; Chordata; Actinopteri; Cypriniformes; Cyprinidae. The record is from RefSeq and is a predicted model, not a curated record.